AUUGAACGCUGGCGGCAUGCUUUACACAUGCAAGUCGAACGGCAGCGCGGGCUUCGGCCUGGCGGCGAGUGGCGAACGGGUGAGUAAUGCAUCGGAACGUGCCCAGUAGUGGGGGAUAGCCCGGCGAAAGCCGGAUUAAUACCGCAUACGACCUGAGGGUGAAAGCGGGGGACCGAAAGGCCUCGCGCUAUUGGAGCGGCCGAUGUCGGAUUAGCUAGUUGGUGGGGUAAAGGCUUACCAAGGCGACGAUCCGUAGCUGGUCUGAGAGGACGACCAGCCACACGGGGACGGAGACGCGGCCCAGACUCCUACGGGAGGCAGCAGGGGGGAAUGUGGGACAAGGGGGGAAAGCCGGACCGAGCAACGCCGCGGGGGGGAAGAAGGCCUUCGGUUUGUAAACCUCUUUUGUGGGGGAAGAACUCCUGUGGGAAAAACCCCGGGGGGGAUGACGGUACCGAAAAAAAAAGCCCCGGCUAACUACGUG
This 484-nucleotide ribosomal RNA is filed under the name uncultured bacterium. RNAcentral describes it as "partial 16S ribosomal RNA". It matches the Rfam family "Bacterial small subunit ribosomal RNA", at positions 29 to 507 of the family's 1533-position model. The record is from RNAcentral.